CCCUUAGAUGUUCUGGGCCGCACGCGCGCUACACUGAUGCAUUCAACGAGCCUAUCCUUGACCGACAGGUCCGGGUAAUCUUUGAAUCUGCAUCGUGACGGGGAUAGAUUAUUGCAAUUAUUAAUCUUCAACGAGGAAUGCCUAGUAAGCGUGAUUCAUCAAAUCGCGUUGAUUACGUCCCUGCCCUUUGUACACACCGCCCGUCGCUCCUACCGAUUGAAUGUUCCGGUGAGCUCUUCGGACUGCGCGGUCUGCAGUUUCUGCGUUCCGUGCGGAAAGUUGCGCAAACCUUAACAUUUAGAGGAAGGAGAAGUCGUAACA
Molecule: ribosomal RNA, 321 nt
Filed under: uncultured eukaryote
Lineage: Eukaryota
Description: partial 18S ribosomal RNA
Rfam family: Eukaryotic small subunit ribosomal RNA
Source: RNAcentral